RNAcentral lists this non-coding RNA (30 nucleotides) under Rattus norvegicus (Norway rat). The record is from RNAcentral. Lineage: Eukaryota; Metazoa; Chordata; Mammalia; Rodentia; Muridae.
UGCUAAACUAUCCAUGGUUGUCAUGAGAGC